Molecule: RNA transcript, 2562 nt
Organism: Rosa rugosa (rugosa rose)
Lineage: Eukaryota; Viridiplantae; Streptophyta; Magnoliopsida; Rosales; Rosaceae
Exons: 7
Source: RefSeq, a predicted model, not a curated record
CAAACUUAAUGCCUUGGCCAUUUUUCAUGUCUGAGAGAGAAACCCCGACUUUUUCUUCACUUCGAGCAAAAUCUGGAGCUUUUCUUCACCAUCUUCUCAAAACACUUAGCCAUCACAAAUCACCAUCCUUCAAAUUCUGGAUUUAGGUUCUAUUCGAUUGGGGUUCGAUUUGGGUUCUACUCGAUUAGGGUUCGAUUAAGGGGUUUUUCAUUCUGCUAAUGGGGGAUUUGGGUUCUGACCAAUCGAGUUGGGUUCUCCCCCGAAACCUAUCCCUCUACUCCCUCCCCUCCCGCUCGCGCGCUCUCUCUAGGAGGUGCAGAGAUUUCUUUGUGGCUCAUCUCGGAGGUGCAUCCUGGCGUUGACUCGUCGGAGGAAGGCGAAGAAGAUGGUGGCUACGGUGAGUCCACCCCGGUGGUCAGAGAUCGGUGACGGAGGAGAGAGAUUCCUCCAGAUCCACUUUUUCUCUCCUCCCACUCUCUCUCGUCUGUGCUUCUCUCUUCAACUAGUCCCUCAACCUUUAAUUCUGAUCAAAAUCAAAUCUUUACAACUGAGCUGUGACGAGAGAGGAAGAGGAGAGAGAUGGCGGAAGAGAAGCCUGAAGUGCUUGACGCGGUGCUGAAGGAAACAGUUGAUUUGGGGUCCAUUCACUUGCAAUUGUCAUGACUGAAACAGAAAGAGGAAGACUUGAGCAAUACAAAGGUCUUGAAGAUUUGGAAUUUAUAUAAGGGGUUCAAACCAGGUGAAUGGACAAUAUAUAUCACUGCAAGAAAGAGAUUAGUUUAGCAAUUGAUUUGGAUUUGCUUACUGAAUGAUUUUGAUUCCAUGUGUAGCAAUGGAUCCAUUGCAAUCACUAUGCGGAAGGAAAAAACAAGGUUAUCUGAUGAAUGUGUAUGUAAUUGCUUAGUGUUGCUGAUUUGAGUCUCCUUUUUAUUUUUAUUUUUUUCGCUUAUUGAAUUAUAUUUUUAAGCUGUGGGAGGGGAGAAACAUGAGUUCUCUUCAUGUCCUUAAUAUUCAAUAUCCAUUGUUCACAAAAUCUGGGUUCGUUGUUCAUGACAGUUUAUUGAUUCGUGCAUCAUUGAAAAUUCAAUGUCCUUCGACAGAAAAAAAAAAAACUGAAUUCAAACGGUAUAUUCCUUUGCUUCCUCAAAUUCUGCAAGUAGUAAUUUGCCUUAAUUCUUUGCUUCCUAAUUGUUCUUUUUUACUAAUUCAGAUAUAAAGGGUUCGGCUCUUGGUUCUUGGUUUUCAAAGAGCUUUUGCUUAUUAUGAUGCUGCAGGGAAGGAACAAAGAAUUUGAAGACCAAAAAAAAAAAAAAAAAAAAGGAAGAAGAAGCAUAAACUGAGUGAUAAAACUUGCUCCCUUCUUUUCAUUUUGAGUCUGUUCUUUUAUUUAUCUUGGCUCAAAUAGCUUCUUCUUUUUGUUUUUUUUUGUUUUUCUCAAACAUCAAUUAGCUGCCCUUAUUGAAUCAGCCAAAAGUGGGGUUUGUGUAGGUGUGGACUGAAUUCUUUGCAUGUCAUAUUGAAUAAUAUGUAUUUGAUGUUUAGGUCCCAAUGGAGUUUAGGUUUCUAUUUGAUCAUCUAUUGGCAGGACAGCCCUCUAGGUUUUGGAUUUGACACAUUCUGGAACCUACAUUAUUUGCCAAAGUUGUGUGCCUAUAUACAGUAACCAACCAUGAGAGAAUACCAGAUUACUCUUCUAUACUAUAUUUUCUAAAACCAGGCCAAGGAUUAAUUUUCUCAUCUUUACUAACCAAAUAGAUAUUUUAUGAUAGGAAUCUGAUUCAUAUAUGAUUUCUUGUUUGAGCAGAUGUAUGCUUAACUUAUGAGAAUGAAUCUGCUUUGAAGAGGGAAGUACUAAUUGGGAAGAAGGAUGAGAUAUAUGGUGGCAGAUGUGAAGCUUUACAGUGUUAUCAAUGAUGAAGUACUGUACCACCGGGGAGGUAGAGAUAUCAUGAGGAAAGUGAUUGUGAUCACCUCCUGCUUGCCUCGAGAUAUGGACUUUAUCAUGCAAAAGACUCUCACAGCUGCGGCGUAUAAGUGUGUUUCUGUUGAGUUUCUGUUAUUUGAGCAAAAAUCAGCCCAUUUUAGCAUUGUCCUUGUUCAAGCUUGGAUUCAGUCCUCAAAUUAUAGCAUUGAUUAUUAUGCAGGGUCAAGCAUGUGAUGCUGACAAGUAUGUUAUUGGUCUGUGGUGCAAUGGCAAUGAUGUGGAUAUGUGAUACCAUUACACAAUCUAUAUUUGGUAUGAUACUUGACCUUUUGGUUACUUGUUUGGUAGCAAUAUAGUCUUGCUCAUAUUUCCAGGAAAUUUCUAUACUUGUCAUCUUGAGGCCUCAUUUUGUUUCUUCAAAAGCAGUAUAUUAGUUUUCAUAUAUACUUGACCUUUUGGUUACUUGUCUCACACCCAGCAAGGAAUGUUGUCUGCCUUUUUGGUCAAGUUUUAAUUGAUGUGUGUUUCAUUUUGGAGUUUGUGUUAUGAUUAAUGGAGUUGAGAGGAAACGAUACUGAAGCUAUGUUUUAGUUCAUUUAGAAUUCUGGAGUUUAGUGCUUUUUGUUGCGGAUAGUUGA